AUACCUUUCUCGGCCUUUUGGCUAAGAUCAAGUGUAGUAUCUGUUCUUAUCAGUUUAAUAUCUGAUACGUGGGUCAUCGACCCACAAUGAUAUUAAAUUUAUUUUUUAAGGGGGAGCAUCCACCACAGUAGCUUGCUACUGGGAUCCUCAAGUGUCGCCCAUGCGUUGCACUAUUGCUUGGGCACAGGCGCGUCCCAC
Beta vulgaris subsp. vulgaris (sugar beet) is the source of this 198-nucleotide non-coding RNA. The record is from Rfam. Lineage: Eukaryota; Viridiplantae; Streptophyta; Magnoliopsida; Caryophyllales; Amaranthaceae.